Molecule: ribosomal RNA, 400 nt
Filed under: uncultured bacterium
Lineage: Bacteria
Description: bacterial SSU rRNA
Rfam family: Bacterial small subunit ribosomal RNA
Source: RNAcentral
GGACAGUGGCGGACGGGCGAGUAACGCGUGAGUAACCUGCCCAUAGUGAGGGAUAGCCCAUGGAAACGUGGAGUAAUACCUCAUAUUGUAUACUGAUCACAUGAUCUAUAUAUGAAAGAUUUAUCGCUUAUGGAUGGACUCGCGUCUGAUUAGAUAGUUGGUGAGGUAACGGCUCACCAAGUCGACGAUUAGUAGCCGAACUGAGAGGUUGAUCGGCCGCAUUGGGACUGAGACACGGCCCAGACUCCUACGGGAGGCAGCAGUAGGGAAUAUUGCACAAUGGAGGAAACUCUGAUGCAGCCAUGCCGCGUGUGUGAAGAAGGCCUUCGGGUUGUAAAGCACUUUCGGAGGGGAGGAAAAGAUGACGUUACCCUCAGAAGAAGCACCGGCUAACUCCGUG